GACGAACGCUGGCGGCGUGCCUAAUACAUGCAAGUCGAGCGGACGAAUCGAAAGCUUGCUUUUGAUUCGUUAGCGGCGGACGGGUGAGUAACACGUGGGCAACCUGCCCUGUAGACGGGGAUAACACCGAGAAAUCGGUGCUAAUACCGGAUAACACGAAAUGUCGCAUGACGUUUCGUUGAAAGACGGCGCAAGCUGCCGCUACAGGAUGGGCCCGCGGCGCAUUAGCUAGUUGGUGAGGUAACGGCUCACCAAGGCGACGAUACGUAGCCGACCUGAGAGGGUGAUCGGCCACACUGGGACUGAGACACGGCCCAGACUCCUACGGGAGGCAGCAGUAGGGAAUCUUCCGCAAUGGACGAAAGUCUGACGGAGCAACGCCGCGUGAGCGAAGAAGGACUUCGGGUCGUAAAGCUCUGUUGUUAGGGAAGAACAAGUAACGCAGUAACUGGCGUUACCGUGACGGUACCUAACGAGAAAGCCACGGCUAACUACGUG
This 498-nucleotide ribosomal RNA is filed under the name uncultured bacterium. RNAcentral describes it as "partial 16S ribosomal RNA". It matches the Rfam family "Bacterial small subunit ribosomal RNA", at positions 28 to 507 of the family's 1533-position model. The record is from RNAcentral.